Molecule: ribosomal RNA, 683 nt
Filed under: Comamonas kerstersii
Lineage: Bacteria; Pseudomonadati; Pseudomonadota; Betaproteobacteria; Burkholderiales; Comamonadaceae
Description: bacterial SSU rRNA
Rfam family: Bacterial small subunit ribosomal RNA
Source: RNAcentral
UGCCUUACACAUGCAAGUCGAACGGCAGCACGGACUUCGGUCUGGUGGCGAGUGGCGAACGGGUGAGUAAUACAUCGGAACGUGCCUGGUAGUGGGGGAUAACUACUCGAAAGAGUGGCUAAUACCGCAUGAGAUCUCAGGAUGAAAGCAGGGGAUCGCAAGACCUUGUGCUACUAGAGCGGCCGAUGGCAGAUUAGGUAGUUGGUGGGAUAAAAGCUUACCAAGCCAACGAUCUGUAGCUGGUCUGAGAGGACGAUCAGCCACACUGGGACUGAGACACGGCCCAGACUCCUACGGGAGGCAGCAGUGGGGAAUUUUGGACAAUGGGCGAAAGCCUGAUCCAGCAAUGCCGCGUGCAGGAUGAAGGCCUUCGGGUUGUAAACUGCUUUUGUACGGAACGAAAAGCUUCGGGUUAAUACCCUGGAGUCAUGACGGUACCGUAAGAAUAAGCACCGGCUAACUACGUGCCAGCAGCCGCGGUAAUACGUAGGGUGCAAGCGUUAAUCGGAAUUACUGGGCGUAAAGCGUGCGCAGGCGGUUUUGUAAGACAGAGGUGAAAUCCCCGGGCUCAACCUGGGAACUGCCUUUGUGACUGCAAGGCUAGAGUACGGCAGAGGGGGAUGGGANUCCGCGUGUAGCAGUGAAAUGCGUAGAUAUGCGGAAGAACACNGAUGGCGAAGCCA